UUUUGAAUAUAGUCAAUCAUGAUGGUUUAUUUACGGUAAACAGGUCUUUAUGGUAUUCAAAAU
Molecule: transfer RNA, 63 nt
Filed under: Macracanthorhynchus hirudinaceus (giant thorny-headed worm)
Lineage: Eukaryota; Metazoa; Acanthocephala; Archiacanthocephala; Oligacanthorhynchida; Oligacanthorhynchidae
Description: transfer RNA-Val
Source: RNAcentral